ACUGCUCAGUAACACGUAGCUAAUCUGCCCUAUGAUCAGGAACAACCUCGGGAAACUGAGGCUAAUGCCUGAUAGAUGGGAGAGGCUGGAAUGCGCUCUCAUUGAAACGCAAGGUCGUAGGAUGAGGCUGCGGCUGAUUAGGUAGUUGCUGAGGUAAAAGCUCAACAAGCCAAUGAUCAGUAAGGGCUCUUAACGGAGAGGCCCUGAGAAGGACUCUGAGACACUAGUCCUAGCUCUAUGGAGUGCAGCAGUUAGGUGAAUUUUCCAAUGUUCGAAAGAAUGAGAAAGGAAUCCAGAGUGCUUUCCUUUUUAGGAAAGCUUUUGUAUCGUGCAAAAAGCGAUACGAAUAAGGACUGGGCAAGACUGGUGCCAGCCGCCGCGGUAAUCCCAGCAGUCCAAGUGGCAGCCACAAUUAUUAGGUCUAAAACAUUCGUAGCCCGUCGAGCAAGUUUCUUGUGAAAUGGUUCAGCUUAACUGAACCGCGUGCAAGAAAUACUACUUGACUAGAGACUGGAAGACGUAAGGAGUACAUUUGAGGUAGCGGUAAAAUGUUUUAAUCUCAGAUGGACUAACAAUGGCGAAGGCACCUUACGAGGACAGUUCUGACAGUGAGGAAUGAAGGCCCGGGGCGCAAAUUGGAUUAGAUACCCAUGUAGUCCGGGCAGUAAACACUGAUUACUAAACAUUGUGCCCUCCUCGAGAGGGUGCAGUGCUGAAGGGAAGCUGAAGAGUAAUCUACCUGGGGAGUAUAGCCGCAAGGCCGAAACUUAAAGGAAUUGGCGGGGGAGCAC
RNAcentral lists this ribosomal RNA (791 nucleotides) under uncultured archaeon. Its description in RNAcentral is "bacterial SSU rRNA". It matches the Rfam family "Archaeal small subunit ribosomal RNA", at positions 85 to 879 of the family's 1478-position model. The record is from RNAcentral.